Long non-coding RNA from Drosophila santomea, 764 nucleotides. RefSeq lists it as uncharacterized. The record is from RefSeq and is a predicted model, not a curated record. NCBI's taxonomy places the organism in Eukaryota, Metazoa, Arthropoda, Insecta, Diptera, Drosophilidae. The transcript is spliced from 3 exons.
GAAUACAGAAUACAGAAUACAGAAUACAGAAUACAGAAUACAGAAUACAGAAUACAGAAUACUGAAUACUUAAUUCAUAAUACCUAAUACAUAAUACAUCAUACAUAAUAACCAACCCUAGUUCGAAUUCGAGCAAGGUGCGCGCGUUAGCAAAAACGAUCCACUAAACCAGAAACCCGGCCACACUUAAUCGGGUAAAUAGAUAGCACAAGCAAAAUCGAUAGACCCAGCCAAUCCCUAUAUAAAGCGGGCGGCCGGCCUCUGGGAACUCAGUCAGUGGCCGGCAGCGAUCGGAUGGAAGUCAUCAACCAACAGCGACCAGCCAGCUCUACAGCAUGAUCUCCCAGUGAUAAAUAUAAUAAACCAGGAUAGGUCCAACAACAAUUCUCUCUGCUGACUUCAGGGUCCAACAACAACUCUCUCUUCUGACUUCAGGGUCCAACUACAAUAACAACUCCCUCUGCUGACUUCAGGGUCCAACACAAACAACAAUUCUCCCCGCUGACUUUCGGGUCCGAUAACAACAACAACCAUACCUUCCCCAUUGCUGACUUAAGGCGUUUCUAUGUAUUCCCAGGCAUUGCACGACAUCCAGGCACCGAACACGAGGGACCCGUUUACAGCCGGAGGAUCCAGACGCGAGAAGCUCCACCCACGGAUACCGGACCUCAGACGCGUGAAGCCCCACCGAGCAAGCCCCGCAGCCAUACCAUUCCCUUCCAUAUCAUUCCGUGUAGAAAUUAGAAUAAAUCAUCUCUGUAUAA